AGAAAGCCCCGGCUAACUACGUGCCAGCAGCCGCGGUAAUACGUAGGGGGCAAGCGUUGUCCGGAAUUAUUGGGCGUAAAGCGCGCGCAGGCGGUUCCUUAAGUCUGAUGUGAAAGGCCACAGCUCAACUGUGGAGGGCCAUUGGAAACUGGGGAACUUGAGGACAGAAGAGGAGAGCGGAAUUCCACGUGUAGCGGUGAAAUGCGUAGAUAUGUGGAGGAACACCAGUGGCGAAGGCGGCUCUCUGGUCUGUAACUGACGCUGAGGCGCGAAAGCAUGGGUAGCGAACAGGAUUAGAUACCCUGGUAGUCCAUGCCGUAAACGUUGAGUGCUAGGUGUUAGGGGGUCCAACCCUUAGUGCUGCAGUUAACGCAAUAAGCACUCCGCCUGGGGAGUACGGCCGCAAGGCUGAAACUCAAAGGAAUUGACGGGGGCCUGCACAAGCGGUGGAGCAUGUGGUUUAAUUCGACGCAACGCGAAGAACCUUACCAGGUCUUGACAUCUUCGGACAGCCCAAGAGAUUGGGUCUUCCCUUCGGGGACCGAAUGACAGGUGGUGCAUGGUUGUCGUCAGCUCGUGUCGUGAGAUGUUGGGUUAAGUCCCGUAACGAGCGCAACCCCUGAUCUUAGUUGCCAGCAUUCAGUUGGGCACUCUAGGAUGACUGCCGGUGACAAACCGGAGGAAGGCGGGGAUGACGUCAAAUCAUCAUGCCCCUUAUGACCUGGGCUACACACGUGCUACAAUGGAUGGUACAAAGGGAAGCCAAACCGCGAGGUCGAGCUAAUCCCAUAAAGCCAUUCUCAGUUCGGAUUGUAGGCUGCAACUCGCCUGCAUGAAGCCGGAAUCGCUAGUAAUCGCGGAUCAGAAUGCCGCGGUGAAUACGUUCCCAGGCCUUGUACACACCGCCCGUCACACCACGAGAGUUGGCAACACCCGAAGUCGGUGGGGUAACCUUCACGGAGCCAG
Molecule: ribosomal RNA, 966 nt
Filed under: Alkalibacillus halophilus
Lineage: Bacteria; Bacillati; Bacillota; Bacilli; Caryophanales; Bacillaceae
Description: bacterial SSU rRNA
Rfam family: Bacterial small subunit ribosomal RNA
Source: RNAcentral